RNAcentral lists this ribosomal RNA (491 nucleotides) under uncultured bacterium. RNAcentral's name for it is "partial 16S ribosomal RNA". It matches the Rfam family "Bacterial small subunit ribosomal RNA", at positions 30 to 506 of the family's 1533-position model. The record is from RNAcentral.
AUUGAACGCUGGCGGCAUGCUUUACACAUGCAAGUCGAACGGUAACAGGCCUUCGGGUGCUGACGAGUGGCGAACGGGUGUGUAAUGCAUCGGAACGUACCCAGAGGUGGGGGAUAACGCAGCGAAAGCUGUGCUAAUACCGCAUGUGAUCUGAGGAUGAAAGCGGGGGACCGAGCAGCAAUGUUUGGCCUCGCGCCUUUGGAGCGGCCGAUGUCGGAUUAGCUAGUUGGUGGGGUAAAGGCCUACCAAGGCGACGAUCCGUAGCUGGUCUGAGAGGACGACCAGCCACACUGGGACUGAGACACGGCCCAGACUCCUACGGGAGGCAGCAGUGGGGAAUUUUGGACAAUGGGCGCAAGCCUGAUCCAGCAAUGCCACGUGCGGGAAGAAGGCCUUCGGGUUGUAAACCGCUUUUGGCAGGAACGAAACGGUGUCCGCUAAUACCGGGCGCUAAUGACGGUACCUGCAGAAUAAGCACCGGCUAACUACGU